UUCAGGUGUACAUUACAAGGCAGAGGCAUGGAUUGUCUCAGCCAGGUGAGCACAAAGAAACCUGAGUUCAUGCCUAAACCUUAGGAAUGUUGGGAUCAAAGGUGUGGACUGUUACAACCUUCCCAGGAUUAUCUUCCAUUUACUCUACUGUAUCUUGUUAAGUGGAAUGCUGCACCUUACACCCUACACACAGAAUCUUGUCCUACUCCUUUUGCUCCUUCAUACUCUGGCACAGCACCAAUAGUAGUUCAGAGCUUUGCAGCACUGGUGCUAUGGGGUUGCAGAUGUUAGAUGUCUGUCAGGCUAAGAAGAAAAAAGAAUUGGAAUGUGACAAGUUUUGCUGAAAAUCUGGAAGAGGAAAUUGAGAAACAAGUGACUUGUCCCAGGUCAAAUGGCCAGUAACUAUCUAAGGAAUGAUUUUAUCCAACUUCUCCUGACUCCAGGUUUGGUAUCCUAUCAACUAUGAUUUGCUGCCUCUUAUAAUGUUCCUGAUGCUUUGUAAUCUCUGGACUUUCAAUAAAGAUUCAAAUCUAAA
Monodelphis domestica (gray short-tailed opossum) is the source of this 535-nucleotide long non-coding RNA. RefSeq lists it as uncharacterized. The record is from RefSeq and is a predicted model, not a curated record. NCBI's taxonomy places the organism in Eukaryota, Metazoa, Chordata, Mammalia, Didelphimorphia, Didelphidae.